GGAAAUGUGCCUGAAUGCUAAAAGGGCCACUUUGAUAGAGUGGAUAAUGGGAGUUAAAUUCUCCUCAUUUCCU
RNAcentral lists this transfer RNA (73 nucleotides) under Albula glossodonta (roundjaw bonefish). Its description in RNAcentral is "tRNA-Ile". It matches the Rfam family "tRNA". Rfam says of the family: Transfer RNA (tRNA) molecules are approximately 80 nucleotides in length. Their secondary structure includes four short double-helical elements and three loops (D, anti-codon, and T loops). Lineage: Eukaryota; Metazoa; Chordata; Actinopteri; Albuliformes; Albulidae. The record is from RNAcentral.